GGAAACGAUGGCUAAUACCGCAUAAUAGCUUCGGCUCAAAGAGGGGGACCUUCGGGCCUCUCGCGUCAGGAUAUGCCCAGGUGGGAUUAGCUAGUUGGUGAGGUAAUGGCUCACCAAGGCGACGAUCCCUAGCUGGUCUGAGAGGAUGAUCAGCCACACUGGAACUGAGACACGGUCCAGACUCCUACGGGAGGCAGCAGUGGGGAAUAUUGCACAAUGGGCGCAAGCCUGAUGCAGCCAUGCCGCGUGUAUGAAGAAGGCCUUCGGGUUGUAAAGUACUUUCAGCAGUGAGGAAGGUGGUGUCGUUAAUAGCGGCAUCAUUUGACGUUAGCUGCAGAAGAAGCACCGGCUAACUCCGUGCCAGCAGCCGCGGUAAUACGGAGGGUGCGAGCGUUAAUCGGAAUUACUGGGCGUAAAGCGCAUGCAGGUGGUUUGUUAAGUCAGAUGUGAAAGCCCGGGGCUCAACCUCGGAAUUGCAUUUGAAACUGGCAGACUAGAGUACUGUAGAGGGGGGUAG
Molecule: ribosomal RNA, 517 nt
Filed under: Vibrio sp. CR-II-E11
Lineage: Bacteria; Pseudomonadati; Pseudomonadota; Gammaproteobacteria; Vibrionales; Vibrionaceae
Description: bacterial SSU rRNA
Rfam family: Bacterial small subunit ribosomal RNA
Source: RNAcentral